GUCUACAGCCAUACCACCCUGAAGGUGCCCAAUCUCGUCUGGUCUCGAAAGCUAAGCAGGAUUGGGCCUGUUUUGUACUUGGAUGGGGAAACAUAUUAUAGGGC
Molecule: ribosomal RNA, 104 nt
Filed under: Pongo abelii (Sumatran orangutan)
Lineage: Eukaryota; Metazoa; Chordata; Mammalia; Primates; Hominidae
Source: RNAcentral